Molecule: ribosomal RNA, 1480 nt
Filed under: metagenome
Description: bacterial SSU rRNA
Rfam family: Bacterial small subunit ribosomal RNA
Source: RNAcentral
CGAUUCUGGCUCAGGAUGAACGCUGGCGGCGUGCUUAACACAUGCAAGUCGAACGGGAUCCAUCGGGCUUUGCUUGGUGGUGAGAGUGGCGAACGGGUGAGUAAUGCGUGACCGACCUGCCCCAUGCUCCGGAAUAGCUCCUGGAAACGGGUGGUAAUGCCGGAUGUUCCACAUGAUCGCAUGUGAUUGUGGGAAAGAUUCUAUCGGCGUGGGAUGGGGUCGCGUCCUAUCAGCUUGUUGGUGAGGUAACGGCUCACCAAGGCUUCGACGGGUAGCCGGCCUGAGAGGGCGACCGGCCACAUUGGGACUGAGAUACGGCCCAGACUCCUACGGGAGGCAGCAGUGGGGAAUAUGCACAAUGGGCGCAAGCCUGAUGCAGCGACGCCGCGUGAGGGAUGGAGGCCUUCGGGUUGUAAACCUCUUUUGUUUGGGAGCAAGCCUUCGGGUGAGUGUACCUUUCGAAUAAGCGCCGGCUAACUACGUGCCAGCAGCCGCGGUAAUACGUAGGGCGCAAGCGUUAUCCGGAUUUAUUGGGCGUAAAGGGCUCGUAGGCGGCUCGUCGCGUCCGGUGUGAAAGUCCAUCGCUUAACGGUGGAUCUGCGCCGGGUACGGGCGGGCUGGAGUGCGGUAGGGGAGACUGGAAUUCCCGGUGUAACGGUGGAAUGUGUAGAUAUCGGGAAGAUCACCGAUGGCGAAGGCAGGUCUCUGGGCCGUCACUGACGCUGAGGAGCGAAAGCGUGGGGAGCGAACAGGAUUAGAUACCCUGGUAGUCCACGCCGUAAACGGUGGACGCUGGAUGUGGGGCACGUUCCACGUGUUCCGUGUCGGAGCUAACGCGUUAAGCGUCCCGCCUGGGGAGUACGGCCGCAAGGCUAAAACUCAAAGAAAUUGACGGGGGCCCGCACAAGCGGCGGAGCAUGCGGAUUAAUUCGAUGCAACGCGAAGAACCUUACCUGGGCUUGACAUGUUCCCGACGACGCCAGAGAUGGCGUUUCCCUUCGGGGCGGGUUCACAGGUGGUGCAUGGUCGUCGUCAGCUCGUGUCGUGAGAUGUUGGGUUAAGUCCCGCAACGAGCGCAACCCUCGCCCCGUGUUGCCAGCACGUUAUGGUGGGAACUCACGGGGGACCGCCGGGGUUAACUCGGAGGAAGGUGGGGAUGACGUCAGAUCAUCAUGCCCCUUACGUCCAGGGCUUCACGCAUGCUACAAUGGCCGGUACAGCGGGAUGCGACAUGGCGACAUGGAGCGGAUCCCUGAAAACCGGUCUCAGUUCGGAUCGGAGCCUGCAACCCGGCUCCGUGAAGGCGGAGUCGCUAGUAAUCGCGGAUCAGCAACGCCGCGGUGAAUGCGUUCCCGGGCCUUGUACACACCGCCCGUCAAGUCAUGAAAGUGGGCAGCACCCGAAGCCGGUGGCCUAACCCCUUGUGGGAUGGAGCCGUCUAAGGUGAGGCUCGUGAUUGGGACUAAGUCGUAACAAGGUA